AAUUAAAUAGUUUAAUAAAAACAUUAUAAUUUCAUUAUAAAAAUAAUUUUACUUAAUUUUUAAUUA
RNAcentral lists this transfer RNA (66 nucleotides) under Alloxysta sp. ZJUH_2016001. RNAcentral's name for it is "tRNA-Glu". The record is from RNAcentral. Lineage: Eukaryota; Metazoa; Arthropoda; Insecta; Hymenoptera; Figitidae.